RNAcentral lists this ribosomal RNA (253 nucleotides) under uncultured bacterium. RNAcentral's name for it is "partial 16S ribosomal RNA". It matches the Rfam family "Bacterial small subunit ribosomal RNA", at positions 524 to 776 of the family's 1533-position model. The record is from RNAcentral.
UACGUAGGGGGCAAGCGUUGUCCGGAAUCAUUGGGCGUAAAGCGCGUGUAGGCGGCCUGCAUAGUCUGGUGUGAAAUCUCGGGGCUCAACCCCGAGCUGUCACUGGAUACUGGCAGGCUUGAGUCCGGAAGAGGAGUGUGGGAUUCCUGGUGUAGCGGUGGAAUGCGCAGAUAUCUGGAGGAACACCGGUGGCGAAGGCGGCAUCCUGGACCGGCAUUGACGCUGAGGCGCGAAAGCCAGGGGAGCAAACGGG